Neodiprion virginianus is the source of this 80-nucleotide long non-coding RNA. RefSeq lists it as uncharacterized. The record is from RefSeq and is a predicted model, not a curated record. The transcript has 5 exons. NCBI's taxonomy places the organism in Eukaryota, Metazoa, Arthropoda, Insecta, Hymenoptera, Diprionidae.
AUCAGGAGUGGAAGUAGGAGUAGGUGUAGAAAUAGGAGUAGAAGUAUAAUCUACAAAUAGGGAUACAAUACCGAAUAAUC